UUUCGAUGAUACGCGAGGAACCUUACCUGGGCUCGAACGUAAGAUGACUGUAGGUGAAAGCUUACAUCUCUUCGGAGCAUUUUACGAGGUGCUGCAUGGUUGUCGUCAGCUCGUGCCGUGAGGUGUCGGGUUAAGUCCCAUAACGAGCGCAACCCCUACCUUUAGUUGCCAUCAGGUUAAGCUGGGGACUCUAAAGGAACUGCCUACGCAAGUAGUGAGGAAGACGGGGAUGACGUCAAAUCAGCACGGCCCUUACGUCCAGGGCUACACACGUGCUACAAUGGCCGAUACAGAGGGCAGCUACCUGGUGACAGGAUGCAAAUCUCCAAAGUCGGUCUCAGUUCGGAUCGGAGUCUGCAACCCGACUCCGUGAAGUUGGAUUCGCUAGUAAUCGCGCAUCAGCCAUGGCGCGGUGAAUACGUUCCCGGGCCUU
RNAcentral lists this ribosomal RNA (433 nucleotides) under uncultured Sphingobacteriales bacterium. RNAcentral's name for it is "bacterial SSU rRNA". It matches the Rfam family "Bacterial small subunit ribosomal RNA", at positions 949 to 1382 of the family's 1533-position model. The record is from RNAcentral. Lineage: Bacteria; Pseudomonadati; Bacteroidota; Sphingobacteriia; Sphingobacteriales.